UGCAAACUCAUCCAUGUUCAUACACACAUUUUCACACAUGCAAACUCACCCAUAUUCAUACACACAUACCCUCAUACACAGUCACCAACACAAACUCACAACACACACAUUUUCACACUCAUACGUGCGCGAACUCACACACUGAUAUACACAUACUCACCCACAUGUAAGUAGACUCAUACACAUUCCUGCAUGCAUUCACACACAGUUUCCAUAUGCACACACAUUCUCCCACACACCUGACACAUACAUCAUGCUUUCGCAGAUCAAGUUUCCAGUUUCACAUCUGUGUCACCUCCAGUACAUUUUCGUACACACCCUCAAAAGACAUCUCUGCAAGAAAUUCCAAGACUCCCCACCCCCUUCCUGGCCCACCAUCGUCCUUUUGGGUGUAUUCAGGGGCAGCCUGGGGCACAGUUAUUAAAC
RNAcentral lists this long non-coding RNA (426 nucleotides) under Homo sapiens (human). Its description in RNAcentral is "HSALNT0231574". The record is from RNAcentral. Lineage: Eukaryota; Metazoa; Chordata; Mammalia; Primates; Hominidae.